RNAcentral lists this ribosomal RNA (495 nucleotides) under uncultured bacterium. RNAcentral's name for it is "partial 16S ribosomal RNA". It matches the Rfam family "Bacterial small subunit ribosomal RNA", at positions 899 to 1397 of the family's 1533-position model. The record is from RNAcentral.
ACUCAAAUGAAUUGACGGGGGCCCGCACAAGCAGCGGAGCAUGUGGUUUAAUUCGAAGCAACGCGAAGAACCUUACCUAGACUUGACAUCCCCUGCAUAACCCAGAGAUGGGCGAAGUCCUUCGGGACAGGGUGACAGGUGGUGCAUGGUUGUCGUCAGCUCGUGUCGUGAGAUGUUGGGUUAAGUCCCGCAACGAGCGCAACCCUUAUCAUUAGUUGCUACCAUUAAGUUGAGCACUCUAGUGAGACUGCCCGGGUUAACCGGGAGGAAGGUGGGGAUGACGUCAAAUCAUCAUGCCCCUUAUGUCUAGGGCUACACACGUGCUACAAUGGUGAGUACAAAGAGAUGCAAGACCGCAAGGUGGAGCCAAACUCAAAAACUCAUCCCAGUUCGGAUUGUAGGCUGCAACUCGCCUACAUGAAGCCGGAGUUGCUAGUAAUCGCGAAUCAGCAUGUCGCGGUGAAUACGUUCCCGGGCCUUGUACACACCGCCCGU